RNAcentral lists this ribosomal RNA (240 nucleotides) under uncultured bacterium. RNAcentral describes it as "partial 16S ribosomal RNA". It matches the Rfam family "Bacterial small subunit ribosomal RNA", at positions 98 to 339 of the family's 1533-position model. The record is from RNAcentral.
GCGGAUGGGUGAGUAACGCGUAAGAAACCUGCCUUUCACACCGGGAUAGCAGCUGGAAACGGCUAUUAAUACCGGAUGAUACUUUUCUGACGCAUGUUAGGAAGGUCAAAGAAUUUCGGUGAAAGAUGGUCUUGCGUCUGAUUAGCUCGUUGGUGGGGUAACGGCCUACCAAGGCGACGAUCAGUAGCCGGCCUGAGAGGGUGACCGGCCACAUUGGGACUGAGACACGGCCCAAACUCC